GCGGAAGUGGCGGAAUGGCAGACGCGCUAGCUUCAGGAGCUAGUGGGGGAAACUCCAUGAGGGUUCAACUCCCUCCUUCCGCACCA
This 86-nucleotide transfer RNA is filed under the name Candidatus Omnitrophota bacterium. Its description in RNAcentral is "Candidatus Omnitrophica bacterium tRNA-Leu". It matches the Rfam family "tRNA". Rfam says of the family: Transfer RNA (tRNA) molecules are approximately 80 nucleotides in length. Their secondary structure includes four short double-helical elements and three loops (D, anti-codon, and T loops). The record is from RNAcentral. Lineage: Bacteria; Pseudomonadati; Candidatus Omnitrophota.